UACAGAGGGUGCGAGCGUUAAUCGGAAUUACUGGGCGUAAAGCGCACGUAGGUGGCGACGUAAGUCGGGUGUGAAAGCCCCGGGCUCAACCUGGGAAUUGCAUUCGAGACUGCAUUGCUGGAGUACGGAAGAGGAAGGCGGAAUUCCCGGUGUAGCGGUGAAAUGCGUAGAUAUCAAGAGGAACACCAGUGGCGAAGGCGAGUCCCUGGACAAACCCUGACACUGAGGCACGAAAGCCAAGGGAGCAAACAGG
RNAcentral lists this ribosomal RNA (253 nucleotides) under uncultured bacterium. RNAcentral describes it as "partial 16S ribosomal RNA". It matches the Rfam family "Bacterial small subunit ribosomal RNA", at positions 524 to 776 of the family's 1533-position model. The record is from RNAcentral.